CCUACGCGUGGCAGCAGUGAGGAAUAUUGGUCAAUGGCCGGAAGGCUGAACCAGCCAUGCCGCGUGAAGGUCAGUGCCCUAUGGGCGUUAAACUUCUUUUGUGCGGGAGCAAUAAUGGUCACGUGUGGACAGACGCGAGUGCCGUACGAAUAAGCAUCGGCUAACUCCGUGCCAGCGGCCGCGGUAAUACGGGGGAUGCAAGCGUUAUCCGGAUUUAUUGGGUUUAAAGGGUGCGUAGGCUGUGAGGUAAGUCAGCGGUGAAAUGCCCCCGCUCAACGGGGUGAAGUGCCAUUGAUACUGCCUUGCUGGAAUGCGGAUGCCGUGGGAGGAAUGUGUGGUGUAGCGGUGAAAUGCAUAGAUAUCACACAGAACACCGAUUGCGAAGGCAUCUCACGAAUCCGCGAUUGACGCUGAUGCACGAAAGCGUGGGUAUCAAACAGGAUUAGAUACCCCUGGUAGUC
This 461-nucleotide ribosomal RNA is filed under the name uncultured bacterium. RNAcentral's name for it is "partial 16S ribosomal RNA". It matches the Rfam family "Bacterial small subunit ribosomal RNA", at positions 338 to 795 of the family's 1533-position model. The record is from RNAcentral.